UGGGGAAUAUUGCACAAUGGGCGAAAGCCUGAUACAGCAACGCCGCGUGAGUGAUGAAGGCCUUCGGGUUGUAAAGCUCUGUCUUUUGGGACGAUAAUGACGGUACCAAAGGAGGAAGCCACGGCUAACUACGUGCCAGCAGCCGCGGUAAUACGUAGGUGGCAAGCGUUGUCCGGAUUUACUGGGCGUAAAGGAUGCGUAGGCGGAUUUUUAAGUGAGAUGUGAAAACCCUAAGCUUAACUUGGGGACUGCAUUUCAUACUGGAAAAUCUAGAGUGCGGGAGAGGAGAAUGGAAAUUCCUAGUGUAGCGGUGAAAUGCGUAGAGAUUAGGAAGAACACCAGUGGCGAAGGCGAUUCUCUGGACCGUAACUGACGCUGAGGCAUGAAAGCGUAGGUAGCAAACAGGAUUAGAUACCCUGGUAGUCCACGCCGUAAACGAUGAGUACUAGGUGUAGGAGGUAUCGACCCCUUCUGUGCCGCAGUUAACACAAUAAGUACUCCGCCUGGGAAGUACGAUCGCAAGAUUAAAACUUAAAAUGAAUUGACGGGGGUCAUAGCUGUUUUCCU
RNAcentral lists this ribosomal RNA (567 nucleotides) under uncultured bacterium. RNAcentral's name for it is "partial 16S ribosomal RNA". It matches the Rfam family "Bacterial small subunit ribosomal RNA", at positions 355 to 939 of the family's 1533-position model. The record is from RNAcentral.